UGGGGUCACUGCCCCUCUCCCCGCCCCAGGUGCGCGGGGCUGGGAUAUGAGCCAGUCACUGCCUUUGUGCCUUUCCUUCUCUCUCCGCUGCCGGGUUCAACCAGCGGACAGUGGGGGAACGGCGGGCAGGUCGGUGGAGUUAGAUGACAGUAAAGGUGGGCCGGCUCUGUGUGAUAAGAUUCCAACUGGGUCCGACCGCUUCCGUCCGCUGGCGCCGGGUCCCCCAGACGUCUGCGGCGAGCGUUGGAACUGACCAUCAACCUGGGAUUUCUAAGGAAUAACAGAUAACUCUGUUGGCGUGUGAGAAUGCGAUCUCGGCUCAUCGCAGCCUGGACCUUCCUGGGCUCCGUCAGGUGAUCUUGCCAUCUCAGUCUUCCAAGUGGCUGAGACUGCAGGAAUAGCUUGAUUCUGGGAUGUCGAAGCUGCAGUGAGCCAUGAUCACGCCACUGCCCUCCAGCCUGAGUGACAGAGAAAGACCCUGUUUCAGAAA
This 490-nucleotide long non-coding RNA is filed under the name Homo sapiens (human). RNAcentral describes it as "HSALNT0367637". The record is from RNAcentral. Lineage: Eukaryota; Metazoa; Chordata; Mammalia; Primates; Hominidae.